CGCGGGGUGGAGCAGCCCGGUAGCUCGUCAGGCUCAUAACCUGAAGGCCGUUGGUUCAAAUCCAACCCCCGCAA
RNAcentral lists this transfer RNA (74 nucleotides) under Nitrosomonadaceae bacterium. Its description in RNAcentral is "tRNA-Met". It matches the Rfam family "tRNA". From Rfam's summary of the family: Transfer RNA (tRNA) molecules are approximately 80 nucleotides in length. The record is from RNAcentral. Lineage: Bacteria; Pseudomonadati; Pseudomonadota; Betaproteobacteria; Nitrosomonadales; Nitrosomonadaceae.